CUCUGUGACUCCUACGGGAGGCAGCAGUGGGGAAUAUUGCACAAUGGGCGCAAGCCUGAUGCAGCAACGCCGUGUGAGUGAAGAAGGUUUUCGGAUCGUAAAACUCUGUCCUAAGGGAAGAAACAAAUGACGGUACCUUAGGAGGAAGCCCCGGCUAACUACGUGCCAGCAGCCGCGGUAAUACGUAGGGGGCAAGCGUUAUCCGGAAUCACUGGGCGUAAAGGGUGCGUAGGCGGCUUAGCAAGCCAGGGGUGAAAGGCAUUGGCUCAACCAAUGUAAGCCUUUGGAACUGUUAAGCUUGAGUGCAGGAGAGGUAAGUGGAAUUCCUAGUGUAGAGGUGAAAUUCGUAGAUAUUAGGAGGAACACCAGUGGCGAAGGCGACUUACUGGACUGUAACUGACGCUGAUGCACGAAAGCGUGGGUAGCGAACAGGAUUAGAUACCCUGGGAG
This 450-nucleotide ribosomal RNA is filed under the name uncultured bacterium. Its description in RNAcentral is "bacterial SSU rRNA". It matches the Rfam family "Bacterial small subunit ribosomal RNA", at positions 328 to 793 of the family's 1533-position model. The record is from RNAcentral.